AAAUUAUUUUAUCAUUCAUGUUAUAAUCGCUUUGGUCCUUUGACGUUUAUUCUUAUACGUAUCUGUCAGUCCACCGUUCUACUCAAACUUCAAAAAAUGAGGAGGUCCCAAUUCGACAAAAUUUUUAUAGAGUUUAACGCCAGUGUCCGUCUAUGUGUCUGUCUGUGGCAUCAAGUGUUUUUUUUUUUUCGUGUGAAAGCGAGUUUUCUUGCGUUGAUCCUUAGCUAUAUAGCAUCUAUUGCAUAUAUAUUUAUAUGUAUAACGCUUAAUAUGCUUGAUUUUCUUUACGUCACACUAAUAUAUAUUUUUAUUGCACUUA
Molecule: long non-coding RNA, 319 nt
Organism: Melitaea cinxia (Glanville fritillary)
Lineage: Eukaryota; Metazoa; Arthropoda; Insecta; Lepidoptera; Nymphalidae
Exons: 2
Source: RefSeq, a predicted model, not a curated record